This 1459-nucleotide ribosomal RNA is filed under the name Streptococcus thermophilus. Its description in RNAcentral is "bacterial SSU rRNA". It matches the Rfam family "Bacterial small subunit ribosomal RNA". The record is from RNAcentral. Lineage: Bacteria; Bacillati; Bacillota; Bacilli; Lactobacillales; Streptococcaceae.
CCCCGGCAUAUCGCAUGCUAUACAUGCAGUAGAACGCUGAAGAGAGGAGCUUGCUCUUCUUGGAUGAGUUGCGAACGGGUGAGUAACGCGUAGGUAACCUGCCUUGUAGCGGGGGAUAACUAUUGGAAACGAUAGCUAAUACCGCAUAACAAUGGAUGACACAUGUCAUUUAUUUGAAAGGGGCAAUUGCUCCACUACAAGAUGGACCUGCGUUGUAUUAGCUAGUAGGUGAGGUAAUGGCUCACCUAGGCGACGAUACAUAGCCGACCUGAGAGGGUGAUCGGCCACACUGGGACUGAGACACGGCCCAGACUCCUACGGGAGGCAGCAGUAGGGAAUCUUCGGCAAUGGGGGCAACCCUGACCGAGCAACGCCGCGUGAGUGAAGAAGGUUUUCGGAUCGUAAAGCUCUGUUGUAAGUCAAGAACGGGUGUGAGAGUGGAAAGUUCACACUGUGACGGUAGCUUACCAGAAAGGGACGGCUAACUACGUGCCAGCAGCCGCGGUAAUACGUAGGUCCCGAGCGUUGUCCGGAUUUAUUGGGCGUAAAGCGAGCGCAGGCGGUUUGAUAAGUCUGAAGUUAAAGGCUGUGGCUCAACCAUAGUUCGCUUUGGAAACUGUCAAACUUGAGUGCAGAAGGGGAGAGUGGAAUUCCAUGUGUAGCGGUGAAAUGCGUAGAUAUAUGGAGGAACACCGGUGGCGAAAGCGGCUCUCUGGUCUGUAACUGACGCUGAGGCUCGAAAGCGUGGGGAGCGAACAGGAUUAGAUACCCUGGUAGUCCACGCCGUAAACGAUGAGUGCUAGGUGUUGGAUCCUUUCCGGGAUUCAGUGCCGCAGCUAACGCAUUAAGCACUCCGCCUGGGGAGUACGACCGCAAGGUUGAAACUCAAAGGAAUUGACGGGGGCCCGCACAAGCGGUGGAGCAUGUGGUUUAAUUCGAAGCAACGCGAAGAACCUUACCAGGUCUUGACAUCCCGAUGCUAUUUCUAGAGAUAGAAAGUUACUUCGGUACAUCGGUGACAGGUGGUGCAUGGUUGUCGUCAGCUCGUGUCGUGAGAUGUUGGGUUAAGUCCCGCAACGAGCGCAACCCCUAUUGUUAGUUGCCAUCAUUCAGUUGGGCACUCUAGCGAGACUGCCGGUAAUAAACCGGAGGAAGGUGGGGAUGACGUCAAAUCAUCAUGCCCCUUAUGACCUGGGCUACACACGUGCUACAAUGGUUGGUACAACGAGUUGCGAGUCGGUGACGGCGAGCUAAUCUCUUAAAGCCAAUCUCAGUUCGGAUUGUAGGCUGCAACUCGCCUACAUGAAGUCGGAAUCGCUAGUAAUCGCGGAUCAGCACGCCGCGGUGAAUACGUUCCCGGGCCUUGUACACACCGCCCGUCACACCACGAGAGUUUGUAACACCCGAAGUCGGUGAGGUAACCUUUGGAGCCAGCCGCCUAAGGUGACAGAAAAGGGGA